AGUGAACGCUGGCGGUAGGCCUAACACAUGCAAGUCGAACGGCAGCACAGUAAGAGCUUGCUCUUACGGGUGGCGAGUGGCGGACGGGUGAGGAAUACAUCGGAAUCUACUUUUUCGUGGGGGAUAACGUAGGGAAACUUACGCUAAUACCGCAUACGACCUACGGGUGAAAGCAGGGGAUCUUCGGACCUUGCGCGAUUGAAUGAGCCGAUGUCGGAUUAGCUAGUUGGGGGGGUAAAGGCCCACCAAGGCGACGAUCCGUAGCUGGUCUGAGAGGAUGAUCGGCCACACUGGAACUGAGACACGGUCCAGGCUACUACGGGAGGCAGCAGUGGGGAAUAUUGGACAGUGGGCGCAAGCCUGAUCCAGCCAGACCGCGUGGGUGAAGAAGGCCUUCGGGUUGUAAAGCCCUUUUGUUGGGAAAGAAAAGCAGCAGGUUAAUACCCAGCUGUUCUGACGGUACCCAAAGAAUAAGCACCGGCUAACUUCGUG
Molecule: ribosomal RNA, 492 nt
Filed under: uncultured bacterium
Lineage: Bacteria
Description: partial 16S ribosomal RNA
Rfam family: Bacterial small subunit ribosomal RNA
Source: RNAcentral